UGGGGAAUAUUGGACAAUGGGCGAAAGCCUGAUCCAGCCAUGCCGCGUGUGUGAAGAAGGCCUUUUGGUUGUAAAGCACUUUAAGCGAGGAGGAGGCUACUUAGAUUAAUACUCUAGGAUAGUGGACGUUACUCGCAGAAUAAGCACCGGCUAACUCUGUGCCAGCAGCCGCGGUAAUACAGAGGGUGCGAGCGUUAAUCGGAUUUACUGGGCGUAAAGCGUGCGUAGGCGGCCUUUUAAGUCGGAUGUGAAAUCCCUGAGCUUAACUUAGGAAUUGCAUUCGAUACUGGGAAGCUAGAGUAUGGGAGAGGAUGGUAGAAUUCCAGGUGUAGCGGUGAAAUGCGUAGAGAUCUGGAGGAAUACCGAUGGCGAAGGCAGCCAUCUGGCCUAAUACUGACGCUGAGGUACGAAAGCAUGGGGAGCAAACAGG
This 430-nucleotide ribosomal RNA is filed under the name bacterium. RNAcentral's name for it is "partial 16S ribosomal RNA". It matches the Rfam family "Bacterial small subunit ribosomal RNA", at positions 355 to 776 of the family's 1533-position model. The record is from RNAcentral.